Molecule: long non-coding RNA, 741 nt
Filed under: Homo sapiens (human)
Lineage: Eukaryota; Metazoa; Chordata; Mammalia; Primates; Hominidae
Description: HSALNT0322350
Source: RNAcentral
AAUUCAGAUGUCAUGGUUCCUUUGGCUCCUUCAAUAGAAACAGUAAAGGGCCCUGGACUCAAACUCCCUCUGUGCAAGUCCUGGCUGUGUUUCUUGCUACCGGCGUAAUGUGCUAUUUAAGCAGCAGUGCAUGUCUCCUCACAUUUGAAAAUAUUGAUUGGGUCUUGAAGACAGAAUAACAAGCGCCAGAACUCAAGCAUUUUGCCAGGAGUGGUGCUGCCUCAUCAGUACUUCAGAUCCAGGCAGGGAAACUGUCAGCAGAACUGCUCCAAAGUCUGCUUUGUGAAAUGCACAUAAGCGGUCUCCCAGACCCACUUUCCAUCCUUCUCCUUUCUGAGGAGGAGGUGGUUAGAAAAAAAAGAAGAAGACAACAAAAGAGUAGAUGAGAGAGAUGUGGCAAAAGAAGAGGCAGAAGAGAAGAGGCAAGAGAAGGAUUCUCCCACCCAUUGCUGUCUUUAGAGAUGCAGGCUAUGAGCCAAAAAGCACAGAUAGCUCCGGAAGCUGAGGACAAGCCACACUGCCCACACUCCCGCAACUGCCCAGAACUGAAUUUUGCCAAUUACCUGCAUAAAUCAGAAAAUGGAUGCUCACUAGAGUCUCCAGAAGGGAGCCUGGCUUGCUGACACCUAGAUUUUUGUCUUGUGAGACUGAUCAGAGGAAUUAUCCCAGCACACUUGACUUCUGAAAUUGUGAUAUAUCUAUGCCUGCAGAAACCCAUGACAUGCAGAAACUAUGAGUUAA